RNAcentral lists this ribosomal RNA (622 nucleotides) under uncultured Actinomycetes bacterium. RNAcentral describes it as "bacterial SSU rRNA". It matches the Rfam family "Bacterial small subunit ribosomal RNA", at positions 847 to 1466 of the family's 1533-position model. Lineage: Bacteria; Bacillati; Actinomycetota; Actinomycetes. The record is from RNAcentral.
CGCAGCUAACGCAUUAAGUGCCCCGCCUGGGGAGUACGAUCGCAAGAUUAAAAACUCAAAGGAAUUGACGGGGCCCCGCACAAGCAGCGGAGCAUGCGGCUUAAUUCGACGCAACGCGAAGAACCUUACCAAGGCUUGACAUAUACAGGAAUAUGGCAGAAAUGUCAUAGCCGCAAGGUCUGUAUACAGGUGGUGCAUGGUUGUCGUCAGCUCGUGUCGUGAGAUGUUGGGUUAAGUCCCGCAACGAGCGCAACCCUCGUUCUGUGUUGCCAGCAUUUAGUUGGGGACUCACAGGAGACUGCCGGGGUUAACUCGGAGGAAGGUGGGGAUGACGUCAAAUCAUCAUGCCCCUUAUGUCUUGGGCUGCACGCAUGCUACAAUGGCUGGUACAAAGGGCUGCAAUACUGCAAAGUGGAGCGAAUCCCAAAAAGCCAGUCUCAGUUCGGAUUGGGGUCUGCAACUCGACCCCAUGAAGUCGGAGUUGCUAGUAAUCGUAGAUCAGCAACGCUACGGUGAAUACGUUCCCGGGGCUUGUACACACCGCCCGUCACAUCACGAAAGUCGGUAACACCCAAAGUCAAGUGGCCCAAACCGCAAGGAUGGGAUGCUGCCAAACGGUGGG